This is an unclassified non-coding RNA of Oncorhynchus kisutch (coho salmon), 299 nucleotides long. It matches the Rfam family "Metazoan signal recognition particle RNA". Rfam says of the family: The signal recognition particle (SRP) is a universally conserved ribonucleoprotein. The record is from Ensembl. Lineage: Eukaryota; Metazoa; Chordata; Actinopteri; Salmoniformes; Salmonidae.
GCCGGGUGCGGUGGCAUGUGCCUGUAAUCCAAGUCACUGGGAGGCUGAGGUUGGUGGAUCAAGUGAGCUGAGGAGCUCUGGGCUGCAGCACACUAUGUUGAACGGGUGUCCACGCUAAGUUCGGUAUCGAUAUGGUGUUCCAGGGGGAGCCCGGGACCACCAGGUUGUCUAAGGAGGGGUGAACCGGCCCAGGUCGGAAACGAAGCAUGUCAAAUCCCCCGUGCUGUACAGUAGUUGGAUAAUACCUGUGAGUAGAUGCUGCAGUGCAGCCUUGGCGAAACAUCGAGACCUAAUCUUAA